Non-coding RNA from Misgurnus anguillicaudatus (oriental weatherfish), 555 nucleotides. NCBI's taxonomy places the organism in Eukaryota, Metazoa, Chordata, Actinopteri, Cypriniformes, Cobitidae. The record is from RefSeq and is a predicted model, not a curated record.
UAGGUGCAUACCACCACCUACUGUAUCAGGAGCCCCAUAUAGUCUAUAUGUGCCCUCAUGCUGUGCACCCGAUACAGUAGGUGGCAACCCGCUAUUAAACAUUAGAUGAAUAAGAAGGUAAUGUGAAUGCGCGUAUUGCUCUGGGGAUAGUGUUGUAUUAAAGGUUAAAAAAAUUAUAAAUACUGUUCGGUUUCUCACACAAACCAAUUGUUUCAUGUCUUAGUAUAUUAAAGUGUUGUCAUGAGCCACAUGGUUUAAUUUGGAUUUGUUUGUGCAUGUUUUUUUAUUUCUAUCAGAUUUUGUUACCAUCAACUUGCAUUAUACAACUGACAGACUGAAACGGUUGGACACAAAAAUCUACAUUUGUGUUCCACUGGAGAAACAAAGUCACCUACAUCUUGGAUGGCCUGGGGACUACCUGACCUGUUCCUGUUAAGAGCUAGUCACUCUUUGUGGAAUGUUCCUGGCCCAUUUUUUUCCACGUUUUUACAAAAGUUUUUUCAAUGACCUCAAAAUUGAUGUGUAAAAAUAAUAAUAAACUUGAAUUUGUUUAAA